AAUGCGCGAAAGCGUGAACAUGCGACGCCGCGUGGAGGAUGAAGGCCCUCGGGUUGUAAACUCCUGUAGUCAGGGAGCAAUCGUCGGUGGGUGAAUACCCCAUCGGCCUGAUCGUACCUGAACAGUAAGCCACGGCUAACUCUGUGCCAGCAGCCGCGGUAAUACAGAGGUGGCAAGCGUUGUUCGGAUUUACUGGGCGUAAAGGGUGCGUAGGCGGUUGCGUGUGUCGGAUGUGAAAUCUCACUGUUCAUCGGUGAAACUGCAUUCGAAACUACGUAACUCGAGUACUGGAGAGGAGAGCGGAAAUUCUUGGUGUAGCGGUGAAAUGCGUUGAGAUCAAGAAGAACGCCGGUGGCGAAGGCGGCUCUCUGGACAGAAACUGACGCUGAGGCACGAAAGCUAGGGGAGCAAACAGGAUUAGAUACCCUGGUAGUCCUAGCCGUAAACGUUGUGCACUUGGUGUGGGAGGAGUUUACCCCUUCCGUGCCGUAGCUAACGUGUUAAGUGCACCGCCUGGGGAGUACGGCCGCAAGGCUAAAACUCAAAGAAAUUGACGGGGGCCCGCACAAGCGGUGGAGCAUGUGGCUUAAUUCGAUGCAACGCGAAGAGCCUUACCUGGGCUUGACAUGGCGAGACUUCGGUCUAAACCGGUGAAAGUCGGUUGAACGCACACAGGUGCUGCAUGGCUGUCGUCAGCUCGUGCCGUGAGGUGUUGGGUUAAGUCCCGCAACGAGCGCAACCCUUGUGGGUAGUUGCCACCCCCGUUCUGCGGGGAGCACUCUACUCAGACUGCCCGUGACAAGCGGGAGGAAGGUGGGGAUGACGUCAAGUCCGUAUGGCCCUUAUGCCCAGGGCUGCACACGUGCUACAAUGGUCAGUACAGAAAGAUGCAAGACCGCGAGGUGGAGCAAAUCUCCAAAACCGGCCCCAGUUCGGAUUGCAGUCUGCAACUCGACUGCAUGAAGCCGGAAUCGCUAGUAACGGCGUAUCAGCUACGACGCCGUGAAUACGUUCCCGGGCUUUGUACACACCGCCCGUCACAUCAUGAAAGCCGAUUGAACCCGAAGUCGUCGAUUCAAC
Molecule: ribosomal RNA, 1080 nt
Filed under: uncultured organism
Description: bacterial SSU rRNA
Rfam family: Bacterial small subunit ribosomal RNA
Source: RNAcentral